This 217-nucleotide unclassified non-coding RNA is filed under the name Hevea brasiliensis (rubber tree). Lineage: Eukaryota; Viridiplantae; Streptophyta; Magnoliopsida; Malpighiales; Euphorbiaceae. The record is from RNAcentral.
AUUUAAUUAUGCCCUUUCAUGGGCUUUCUUGUGGUGCAUAUACCAGAAGAUUGCAGAACAUGAAAGCAUAGUCACACCACAAUUGACGUACAAUGUUGACUGCAGCAGGCUGCUGCAUAUUUCAUGCUGAUUUUUCUCACAAAGAAAUGCAAAAAUUAGUCAGUUCAAACAUGAACUGUGUUUGGUUGGGCCGAUGAACACAGUCCUUCCAUCUAUA